Molecule: ribosomal RNA, 556 nt
Filed under: Tringa stagnatilis
Lineage: Eukaryota; Metazoa; Chordata; Aves; Charadriiformes; Scolopacidae
Description: partial 12S ribosomal RNA
Rfam family: Bacterial small subunit ribosomal RNA
Source: RNAcentral
AUGGUAUCAUAAUAACUAAGAUCAAAGUGCAACUAAGCUGUCUUAAGCCAAAGAUGUACUAAGACCCCCUAACAGAUGAUCUUAGCUCUUCAGAUUAAUUUAACUCCACGAAAGCUAAGGCACAAACUGGGAUUAGAUACCCCACUAUGCUUAGCCCUAAAUCUUGAUGCUGCCCUAUACCAAAGCUCCGCCCGAGAACUACGAGCACAAACGCUUAAAACUCUAAAGACUUGGCGGUGCCCUAAACCCAACUAGAGGAGCCUGUUCUAUAAUCGGUAACCCACGUUACACCCGACCGCCUCUUGCCAAAAGCAGCCUACAUACCGCCGUCGCCAGCUCACCUUCCCUGAGAGUUCAAUAGUGAGCACAAUUGCCCAAACCCGCUACUCAGACAGGUCGAGGUAUAGCCCACGGGGCGGAAGAAAUGGGCUACAUUUUCUAAAAUAGAAAACCCACGGAAGGGGGUGUGAAACUGCCCCCCGAAGGCGGAUUUAGUAGUAAAGAGGGACAAUAUAAGCUCUCCUUAAACCGGCCCUGGGCACGUACACACCGCCCG